Molecule: unclassified non-coding RNA, 240 nt
Filed under: soil metagenome
Description: partial contains 5.8S ribosomal RNA, internal transcribed spacer 2, and large subunit ribosomal RNA
Source: RNAcentral
AAGACUAUAGACCUGCGGAGUACCUGCGGAAGGAUCAUUAUUGAAUUAUGCUUCUAAAUGGGUUGUAGCUGGCUCGUCAGAGCAUGUGCACGCCUGUUUGGACUUCAUUUUCAUCCACCUGUGCACCUAUUGUAGUCUUUGGUUGGGUAUCAAGGAAGUGGUCAGCCUAUCAGCACUUGCUGGAUGUGAGGACUUGCAGUGUGAAAGCUUUGCUGUCCUUUACUUGAUCAUGGAGUUGUU